UACGGAGGGUGCGAGCGUUGUCCGGAAUCACUGGGCGUAAAGGGCGCGUAGGCGGCCUGAUAAGUUGGGGGUGAAAUCCUGCGGCUUAACCGCAGGGCUGCCUUCUAAACUGUCAGGCUUGAGCACAGUAGAGGCAGGUGGAAUUCCCGGUGUAGCGGUGGAAUGCGUAGAGAUCGGGAAGAACAUCAGUGGCGAAGGCGGCCUGCUGGGCUGUUGCUGACGCUGAGGCGCGACAGCGUGGGGAGCAAACAGG
This 253-nucleotide ribosomal RNA is filed under the name uncultured bacterium. RNAcentral's name for it is "partial 16S ribosomal RNA". It matches the Rfam family "Bacterial small subunit ribosomal RNA", at positions 524 to 776 of the family's 1533-position model. The record is from RNAcentral.